AGGAAGAACAGACAAACGUAAGCACUGCUAACCCUUACACCCCGCGGUUAAAGUCCGCGGAUUCCUU
Molecule: transfer RNA, 67 nt
Filed under: Dawkinsia denisonii (Denison barb)
Lineage: Eukaryota; Metazoa; Chordata; Actinopteri; Cypriniformes; Cyprinidae
Description: tRNA-Ser
Source: RNAcentral